CCUACGGGUGGCUGCAGUAACGAAUCUUCCCCAAUGCACGCAAGUGUGAGGGAGCGACGCCGCGUGUAGGACGAAGUCCUUCGGGAUGUAAACUACUGUCAGGGGAUACCGGAUCCCCAGAGGAAGAGGCGGCUAACUCUGUGCCAGCAGCCGCGGUAAUACAGAGGCCUCAAGCGUUAGGCGGAAUCACUGGGCUUAAAGCGCGUGUAGGUGGAUUUUUAAGUGCUUUGUGAAAUCCCACGGCUCAACCGUGGAACUGCUGAGCAUACUGGAAGUCUUGGGCUAUCUAGGGGCAACCGGAACAAGCGGUGGAGCGGUGAAAUGCGUAGAUAUCGCUUGGAACGCCAAAGGUGAAGACAGGUUGCUGGAUAUGCCGACACUGAGACGCGAAAGCCAGGGGAGCAAACGGGAUUAGAUACCCUUGUAGUC
Molecule: ribosomal RNA, 429 nt
Filed under: uncultured bacterium
Lineage: Bacteria
Description: partial 16S ribosomal RNA
Rfam family: Bacterial small subunit ribosomal RNA
Source: RNAcentral